AAUAUUGGUUCAGAAAGAUUUUCUCCUUUUCUAUCUUUUAUUUCUUUUCCUAAAAAUUUGUCUUGAAAGGAUUUUUCAAAGCUUACUACCAGAAACCGAAAAGGAAUUCAUCCAAUGCAGGAUAAUACAAACAGUCUUAAAGGUCGGUCCCAGGCAAUGCAGUGAUCGUGCCCGGCAGUUUUGGAGGAAGUAAGCUCCUAAAGGGAGUGGUUUCGGGAGUUAAAAGCAGACUCCCACAGCAUGAGUUUAAAGAGAAAGCAGAAAAGGGGAUAAAUUGAAAACCAAUCCCCAGCAGGCUAGGACCCCCAGCAGGCAAGUUUGCCCACCAACCAAUUAUGGGGACAUAGAGCAAGAAAAGGGGAAGAGAGGAAAAAUCAUCCGCCGGAAAGGCACCCUCUACCACCACGAUUAAAACUAACUAAAUCCUUUUGUCUGCUGCAGGAAAACAAAGGAUUGAUAAAGGUAGCAAAACGCAACGCCAGGGAAAUCACCAAAGAACCGGGGCAGAAAAGUUUCUGCCAAUUGUCGAAAAUUUUCUCGGAAGAACGGGGAAACAAUUUCAAUACUUUUAAGUUCUAGGUCGCCCACCAGUAUAAUGCGGGAGUACAUUUAAGUUCUAGGUCGCCCACCAGUAUAAUGCGGGAAUACAUUUAAGUUCUAGGUCGCCCACCAGUAUAAUGCGGGAAUACAUUUAAGUUCUAGGUCGCCCACCAGUAAAAUGCGGGAAUACAUUUAAGUUCUAGGUCGCCCACCAGUAAAAUGCAGGAAUAUAUUUAAGUUCUAGGUUGCCCACCAGUAAAAUGCGGGAAUACAUUUAAGUUCUAGAUCGCCCACCAGUAAAAUGUGGGA
This 849-nucleotide long non-coding RNA is filed under the name Nicotiana tabacum (common tobacco). RNAcentral describes it as "long non-coding RNA (NTAB_LNC000879)". Lineage: Eukaryota; Viridiplantae; Streptophyta; Magnoliopsida; Solanales; Solanaceae. The record is from RNAcentral.